Molecule: long non-coding RNA, 1929 nt
Filed under: Anas platyrhynchos platyrhynchos (common mallard)
Lineage: Eukaryota; Metazoa; Chordata; Aves; Anseriformes; Anatidae
Description: lncRNA (ENSAPLG00000019486.1)
Source: RNAcentral
UACAGAGGAUGCAGGGACAUAGGGAAUUAGGGACACUGGGGAUGCCAAGAAUACAGGAACAUAGGGAUUUGGGGACAAUGGGGGUGCCAGGAGUACAGGGAUGCAGGGAUUUGGGGACAGGACAAUGCAGAGGACACAGAGAUGUGGGGAUUUGGGGACACUGGGAUUUGGGGAUAACGGGGGCACCAGGAAUAGAGGGACAUGGGGAUUUGGGGACAGGGGGAUUUGGGGACAAUGGGGGUGCCAUAAGUACAGGGACACCGGGAUUUGGGGACCCCUGGGGACAUGGAGAUGUUGGAGACGCUGGAAACACCCGGGCUCGAGGGACACCAGGGAUGUGGGGGAUGCUGGGGGAAACGCAGCACCCCAUUUCCACCCCUUCUGGCCCUGCCCCCAUCCCCAUCUCCCCUCUGCCUGCUGCUGUCCUCACCCACCCCCACCCCACCCCUGUGCCCCCCUCCCCAUCUCCUUCCCUCUGGUCCUGCCUCGUCCGUCCCCGUCCCCAUCUCCCUGCCCCGUUCUGGUCCCAGCCCCAUCCCGCUCCCUCCUCUGCCUCCCCCCACCCCCAUCUCCACCCCAUCUCCCCCUCCCCAACCCCUCCCCACCCCUUCCCGGCCCCUCCCCAGCCCCUCCCCGGCCCCCCGCCCCGCUCACCGCAGCCGCUGGAUGUUGGAGGAGACCCCCGACAGGCGGUAGAUGCCGUCCACCACCCCGUGCUGCUCCACGAACUCAGUGCAGCUCCUCAGCACCUGGGGCACUGCGGGACGGGCACCCCCGGGCCCGGCAUCAGCCCCCCACGGAGCCCCCCCAGACCCCUCCCAAGGCCCCGGGCCCUGUCCCCAUUGAGCGCAGGGGGUGACAGGAGGGAGCGGGUCCCCACCGCGGUGGUGUCCCCGCGGUGCCACCGGUCCCCAUGGCCAGAUUGGGACCACCGGGACCUGGGGACGAGGCCGCCGAGCCCCUGGGGCUCACCCCCUCCAAACCAGGGGGCGCAGCGGGGAGCUGAGAUUGGAUCGGGCAACGCCGGCCCUGGGCGGACCCCAAAAUCUCAGGGGGGGCCCUGUGCGGGAUGCGCCCCAGCUCCGCCGCUUGCUCAAGCCCCGGUGAUGCAACCGCAUGGCGAGCGUCACCGCCGUCCCCUCCCCGCUUCCGCUGGGGGGCACGGGGACGGGGCUGGGGGGCGACCCCUGGGGAUGGAGGAGAUGGAGGCCCCCCCAGCGCAGGACCCCCGCUCCCCACUCUUACCAUCCUGCCCCGACUGCUGGAGAUGCUCGAGGAGGUCGCAGCCGAACACCCGCUCCUUGGCGCCGCCCUUGCGCCUCGCCUUCUGCCGGGCCUUGAGCGCCAGCGACAUGGGGGCGGCGGGGACCCCCCCGGCGGGGUCAGAUCCUGCCCAUGGCGGGGCCCAGCCCCAGGAGGAGCCCCGAGCGGGGAGCGGGGCGCCCAAAGCCCCAGCGCGGCCGGGGGCAGGCGGCAGCGGGCGGAAGCGGCCCCGGGGAGGAAGUGCCGCGGCCCCGGGGCCCUGACGCAGCCUCGAGGGCCCGGGGCGCCCCGCUGGCGGGGGCAGGAAGGCGGCGGCCGCCUUCGAGGCCGCUUCCUGCUCCUCGGCGCCUCGAAACCGCAGGGCAGGGCGCGGGCCGCGCGUUUCCGCGCUCUGCCGGGGGCGCUGGCGCAGCCGCCCUCGCGCGGGGCCGUGCGCGUGGCCCUUGUGCGGCCCGGAGCGGGGCAGCGGGUGGCCGGGCACGCUCGGGCGGCCUCGCACACGGGGCCGUGCACUUGGGCGGCCUCAGCGGGCCUCGUGCAUCCUCGCACACGCUCGUGCAUGCUCUGCAGGCUCACACAUGCUCACACAUGCUCGUGCAUGCUCGUGCACUCAUGCACACUUGCUCACAGGCGGCCCUGUGCACUUCUGCAUGCUCACACACACCU